This 64-nucleotide microRNA precursor is filed under the name Nomascus leucogenys (northern white-cheeked gibbon). Its description in RNAcentral is "miRNA (ENSNLEG00000028245.1)". The record is from RNAcentral. Lineage: Eukaryota; Metazoa; Chordata; Mammalia; Primates; Hylobatidae.
GUUGGUGCAAAAGUAAUUGCGGUUUUUGCCAUUGAACGUAAUGGCAAAAAACGCAAUAACUUUU